This 478-nucleotide ribosomal RNA is filed under the name uncultured bacterium. RNAcentral's name for it is "bacterial SSU rRNA". It matches the Rfam family "Bacterial small subunit ribosomal RNA", at positions 335 to 800 of the family's 1533-position model. The record is from RNAcentral.
ACUCCUACGGGAGGCAGCAGUGGGGAAUAUUGCACAAUGGGCGCAAGCCUGAUGCAGCCAUGCCGCGUGUAUGAAGAAGGCCUUCGGGUUGUAAAGUACUUUCAGCAGUGAGGAAGGUGGGUAUGUUAAUAGCAUAUUCAUUUGACGUUUAGCUGCAGAGAAGCACCGGCUAACUCCGUGCCAGCAGCCGCGGUAAUACGGAGGGUGCGAGCGUUAAUCGGAAUUACUGGGCGUAAAGCGCAUGCAGGUGGUUUGUUAAGUCAGAUGUGAAAGCCCGGGGCUCAACCUCGGAAUUGCAUUUGAAACUGGCAAACUAGAGUACUGUAGAGGGGGGUAGAAUUUCAGGUGUAGCGGUGAAAUGCGUAGAGAUCUGAAGGAAUACCGGUGGCGAAGGCGGCCCCCUGGCACAGAUACUGACACUCAGAUGCGAAAAGCGUGGGGAGACAAACAGGGAUUAGAUACCCUGGUAGCUCGAUGU